GCGCAUGUGGUGUAGUGGUUUGCAUGGUCGCCUCCCAAGCGAUCGGCCCGGGUUCGAACCCCGGCAUGCGCA
Molecule: non-coding RNA, 72 nt
Organism: Aphelenchus avenae
Lineage: Eukaryota; Metazoa; Nematoda; Chromadorea; Rhabditida; Aphelenchidae
Source: the annotation of a GenBank genome assembly